This 301-nucleotide ribosomal RNA is filed under the name uncultured bacterium. RNAcentral describes it as "partial 16S ribosomal RNA". It matches the Rfam family "Bacterial small subunit ribosomal RNA", at positions 509 to 807 of the family's 1533-position model. The record is from RNAcentral.
CAGUAGCCGCGGUAAUACGAAGGGUGCAAGCGUUACUCGGAAUUACUGGGCGUAAAGCGUGCGUAGGUGGUGGUUUAAGUCCGUUGUGAAAGCCCUGGGCUCAACCUGGGAAUUGCAGUGGAUACUGGGUCACUAGAGUGUGGUAGAGGAUAGUGGAAUUUCCGGUGUAGCAGUGAAAUGCGUAGAGAUCGGAAGGAACAUCUGUGGCGAAGGCGACUAUCUGGGCCAACACUGACACUGAGGCACGAAAGCGUGGGGAGCAAACAGGAUUAGAGAACCCCGUAGUCCCUGUCUCUUAUAC